AAUCUCUUUUCCCCAUUCAGUCUUGUCCUCGUAGCCACAGCUAAUAACAUGAAUUGCUUCUUUCAAAAGAGAUGCAGGAUUAGUGGAUGCAGGAAUGCCUCCUUGUUCCAUAAAUGUGGCAGCAAUAAACACUGGUGAUUGACCAAAUCGCUUCUCCAAGCUCCUCUGUGACAUAAGCAGUGACUUCUCCUCAUCAUAUCCUUCUACGCCUUCUUCAAUGUCUUCCAUAUUGAAAAUUGGGACAGUGGAUUCUGUUCUUUUUACUGCCCUCUUCUUAUCAAUGUAUUUCUUGUUUCCACUCCUUCCCUUCUUCCUUGACCCACCACAACAGCUCUUAACAAUGAUGUUUGGCUCCAAAUCAGCCUCAGUUAAUACAGGAUCAUACCCGUAAAGGGCCUGCCUGUUAAAACAACACCCAGUUCCCACAUACAUAGGACCCUGAAGGCCAUCCAACCCUUUCAAGUUGAUAUCAAAGAA
RNAcentral lists this unclassified non-coding RNA (477 nucleotides) under Hevea brasiliensis (rubber tree). The record is from RNAcentral. Lineage: Eukaryota; Viridiplantae; Streptophyta; Magnoliopsida; Malpighiales; Euphorbiaceae.